AGCUGAAUGGCGCAGCGGAAGCGCGCCGGGCUCAUAACCCGGAGGACGCCGGAUCGAAACCGGCUUCAGCUA
RNAcentral lists this transfer RNA (72 nucleotides) under Amniculicola lignicola CBS 123094. It matches the Rfam family "tRNA". From Rfam's summary of the family: Transfer RNA (tRNA) molecules are approximately 80 nucleotides in length. Their secondary structure includes four short double-helical elements and three loops (D, anti-codon, and T loops). Further hydrogen bonds mediate the characteristic L-shaped molecular structure. tRNAs have two regions of fundamental functional importance: the anti-codon, which is responsible for specific mRNA codon recognition, and the 3' end, to which the tRNAs corresponding amino acid is attached (by aminoacyl-tRNA synthetases). tRNAs cope with the degeneracy of the genetic code in two manners: having more than one tRNA (with a specific anti-codon) for a particular amino acid; and 'wobble' base-pairing, i.e. permitting non-standard base-pairing at the 3rd anti-codon position. Lineage: Eukaryota; Fungi; Ascomycota; Dothideomycetes; Pleosporales; Amniculicolaceae. The record is from Rfam by way of RNAcentral.